Molecule: unclassified non-coding RNA, 227 nt
Filed under: uncultured fungus
Lineage: Eukaryota; Fungi
Description: sequence contains ITS1, 5.8S rRNA gene
Rfam family: 5.8S ribosomal RNA (bases 179-227)
Source: RNAcentral
UCUCCGUAGGUGAACCUGCGGAGGGAUCAUUACUGAGUGAGGGCCUUCGGGCUCGACCUCCAACCCUUUGUGAACACAACUUGUUGCUUCGGGGGCGACCCUGCCGUUCGGCGCGGCGCCCCCGGAGGCUCAUCAAACACUGCAUUCUCUGCGUCGGAGUAUUAGUAAAUCUAAUCAAAACUUUCAACAACGGAUCUCUUGGUUCUGGCAUCGAUGAAGAACGCAGC